UAAUGAAAUGUAUGCGUAAGACGCUCUGGAUAAGAGCGUCUGCUAAAUGAUGUAAA
Molecule: non-coding RNA, 56 nt
Organism: Salmo salar (Atlantic salmon)
Lineage: Eukaryota; Metazoa; Chordata; Actinopteri; Salmoniformes; Salmonidae
Source: Rfam